Molecule: ribosomal RNA, 467 nt
Filed under: uncultured bacterium
Lineage: Bacteria
Description: partial 16S ribosomal RNA
Rfam family: Bacterial small subunit ribosomal RNA
Source: RNAcentral
GAUGAACGCUGGCGGCGUGCUUAACACGUGCAAGUCGAACGGAAAGGCCCAAGCUUGCUUGGGUACUCGAGUGGCGAACGGGUGAGUAACACGUGGGUGAUCUGCCCUGCACUUCGGGAUAAGCCUGGGAAACUGGGUCUAAUACCGGAUAGGACCACUUCUUGGAUGUUGUGGUGGAAAGUUUUUUCGGUGUGGGAUGAGCUCGCGGCCUAUCAGCUUGUUGGUGGGGUAAUGGCCUACCAAGGCGUCGACGGGUAGCCGGCCUGAGAGGGUGUACGGCCACAUUGGGACUGAGAUACGGCCCAGACUCCUACGGGAGGCAGCGGUGGGGAAUAUUGCACAAUGGGCGCAAGCCUGAUGCAGCGACGCCGCGUGGGGGAUGACGGCCUUCGGGUUGUAAACUCCUUUCGCUAGGGACGAAGCGUUUUGUGACGGUACCUGGAGAAGAAGCACCGGCUAACUACGUG